Molecule: transfer RNA, 53 nt
Filed under: Taphes brevicollis
Lineage: Eukaryota; Metazoa; Arthropoda; Insecta; Coleoptera; Lycidae
Description: partial tRNA-Ser
Source: RNAcentral
ACUGAAACCAAAAAGAGGUAUAUUACUGUUAAUAAUAUUAAUGAAAUAUUCCA